CAGCUAGCUUACCCAUCAAAGUAAUCAAACAAUAUAAAUAAAAAUAAAUAAACCAAACACCAAAAACUAAACCAUUCUUUUACCUGAGUAUGGGAGACAGAAAAGGUUCAACCAAAGCAAUAGAGAUAGUACCGCAAGGGAAAGCUGAAAGAGAAAUGAAAUAACCCAUAUAAGCAACAAAAAGCAAAGACUAAACCUUGUACCUUUUGCAUCAUGAUUUAGCUAGUAAACACAAGCAAAGAGACCUUUAGUUUGAAACCCCGAAACCAGGUGAGCUACCCCGAGACAGCCUAUUAGGGCCAACCCGUCUCUGUGGCAAAAGAGUGGGAAGAACUCCGGGUAGAAGUGACAGACCUACCGAACCUGGUGAUAGCUGGUUACCUAAGAAAUGAAUAGAAGUUCAGCCUCGCACACCUCAAAUCAAACAAACACAUAUUAAAAUAUUAAGAGAAAAAUACGAGAGUUAGUUGAAGGGGGUACAGCCCCUUUAACAAAGGACACAACCUUGCCAGGAGGAUAAAGAUCAUAAUAUACAAAAUAUACUGUUCUAGUGGGCCCAAAAGCAGCCACCUAAACAGAAAGCGUUAAAGCUCAGACAGAAAAAAAUUUAUUAUUCAGAUAAAAAAUCUCACUCCCCUAGACACUAUUAGGCCAACCCAUGCCCACAUGGAAGAAAUUAUGCUAAAAUGAGUAACAAGAAGGCCCACCCUUCUCCCAGCACAAGUGUAAGCCAAAUCGGACCAACCAUUGGCAACUAACGAACUCAACCCAAGAGAGUAAUGUGAACCGCAAAAAAAACAAGAAAAACCCACAACCAAACAAUCGUUACCCCCACACUGGAGUGCCGCCCAUGGGAAAGACUAAAAGAAAAGGAAGGAACUCGGCAAACACAAGCCCCGCCUGUUUACCAAAAACAUCGCCUCCUGCAACACCACAUAUAGGAGGUCCAACCUGCCCAGUGACUACAAGUUCAACGGCCGCGGUAUUUUGACCGUGCAAAGGUAGCGCAAUCACUUGUCUUUUAAAUAGAGACCUGUAUGAAUGGCCAAACGAAGGCUUAACUGUCUCCCUUUUCAAGUCAGUGAAAUUGAUCUAUCCGUGCAGAAGCG
RNAcentral lists this ribosomal RNA (1109 nucleotides) under Garra orientalis. RNAcentral describes it as "partial 16S ribosomal RNA". The stretch from base 182 to 1090 matches the Rfam family "Bacterial large subunit ribosomal RNA", at positions 568 to 2044 of the family's 2925-position model. The record is from RNAcentral. Lineage: Eukaryota; Metazoa; Chordata; Actinopteri; Cypriniformes; Cyprinidae.